RNAcentral lists this long non-coding RNA (301 nucleotides) under Elaeis guineensis (African oil palm). RNAcentral's name for it is "long non-coding RNA (EGUI_LNC036535)". Lineage: Eukaryota; Viridiplantae; Streptophyta; Magnoliopsida; Arecales; Arecaceae. The record is from RNAcentral.
UCGCUCUCGUUCCUAGUCUCCAUCUAGGGUCUACACCAGGGGAAUCCAUCAUCCAAUCAAACUUCCACAUAUCUUUGUUCUAUCUUCUUUAGAUUGCUGGUUUAACACCCAAGUUCGUGCAAGAUAUCGAUCCACCACUGAUAUCAGAGAGAUAUCAGGUUCUUAACACUCUUAACAGCAGAGUGUUCCAAAGUUGGUCAUGUUCAGUGAAAUAUACUCCUACAUUUCACCUGCAUGCCAUACUAGUGUCUCUAUGCUCUUUGGUGUCACACCCCCAAUCCGAGAUUAUGAAUCGAGGGUC